UACGAAGGGUGCAAGCGUUACUCGGAAUUACUGGGCGUAAAGCGUGCGUAGGUGGUUUGUUAAGUCUGAUGUGAAAGCCCUGGGCUCAACCUGGGAAUUGCAUUGGAUACUGGCAGGCUAGUGCGGUAGAGGGUAGUGGAAUUCCCGGUGUAGCAGUGAAAUGCGUAGAGAUCGGGAGGAACACCAGUGGCGAAGGCGACUACCUGGACCAGCACUGACACUGAGGCACGAAAGCGUGGGGAGCAAACAGG
RNAcentral lists this ribosomal RNA (251 nucleotides) under uncultured bacterium. RNAcentral's name for it is "partial 16S ribosomal RNA". It matches the Rfam family "Bacterial small subunit ribosomal RNA", at positions 524 to 776 of the family's 1533-position model. The record is from RNAcentral.